Molecule: ribosomal RNA, 977 nt
Filed under: Microbacterium foliorum
Lineage: Bacteria; Bacillati; Actinomycetota; Actinomycetes; Micrococcales; Microbacteriaceae
Description: bacterial SSU rRNA
Rfam family: Bacterial small subunit ribosomal RNA
Source: RNAcentral
ACGCUGGCGGCGUGCUUAACACAUGCAAGUCGAACGGUGAACACGGAGCUUGCUCUGUGGGAUCAGUGGCGAACGGGUGAGUAACACGUGAGCAACCUGCCCCUGACUCUGGGAUAAGCGCUGGAAACGGCGUCUAAUACUGGAUACGAGUAGCGGCCGCAUGGUCAGUUACUGGAAAGAUUUAUUGGUUGGGGAUGGGCUCGCGGCCUAUCAGCUUGUUGGUGAGGUAAUGGCUCACCAAGGCGUCGACGGGUAGCCGGCCUGAGAGGGUGACCGGCCACACUGGGACUGAGACACGGCCCAGACUCCUACGGGAGGCAGCAGUGGGGAAUAUUGCACAAUGGGCGGAAGCCUGAUGCAGCAACGCCGCGUGAGGGAUGACGGCCUUCGGGUUGUAAACCUCUUUUAGCAGGGAAGAAGCGAAAGUGACGGUACCUGCAGAAAAAGCACCGGCUAACUACGUGCCAGCAGCCGCGGUAAUACGUAGGGUGCAAGCGUUAUCCGGAAUUAUUGGGCGUAAAGAGCUCGUAGGCGGUUUGUCGCGUCUGCUGUGAAAUCCGGAGGCUCAACCUCCGGCCUGCAGUGGGUACGGGCAGACUAGAGUGCGGUAGGGGAGAUUGGAAUUCCUGGUGUAGCGGUGGAAUGCGCAGAUAUCAGGAGGAACACCGAUGGCGAAGGCAGAUCUCUGGGCCGUUACUGACGCUGAGGAGCGAAAGGGUGGGGAGCAAACAGGCUUAGAUACCCUGGUAGUCCACCCCGUAAACGUUGGGAACUAGUUGUGGGGUCCAUUCCACGGAUUCCGUGACGCAGCUAACGCAUUAAGUUCCCCGCCUGGGGAGUACGGCCGCAAGGCUAAAACUCAAAGGAAUUGACGGGGACCCGCACAAGCGGCGGAGCAUGCGGAUUAAUUCGAUGCAACGCGAAGAACCUUACCAAGGCUUGACAUAUACGAGAACGGGCCAGAAAUGGUCAACUCU